This 376-nucleotide small RNA is filed under the name Arabidopsis thaliana (thale cress). RNAcentral's name for it is "putative long intergenic non-coding RNA". Lineage: Eukaryota; Viridiplantae; Streptophyta; Magnoliopsida; Brassicales; Brassicaceae. The record is from RNAcentral.
GGGAAGUUGUGUUAUUUUAUUAAUGGUUUUUUUUUCUUACGUAGUUACUCGUCUCUUUCCAGUUUUGUAUGAAGAUAAGAGACUGUCGUUUUGAGGCGUAAGAAAAAAAGAAAUGAUUCCUCCAAAUUCUUGUUUUAUUUCGUUCUGUUUUUCGAACAGAAGUUCAUCUAUCAGAUUUGUGCUUUGUUCCUCGCGUCUUUUGCUAGAACGAUGCUGCCGAUUCUUCUCCCUCCCCGUCUGAUUGCUUUUGGCAAAGAACUUCGCGGCGAGAGGAUUAAUGUUUAUCAGAAGAUAAGGGAUUAGCGUGAUACUAAUGUUAUCAGAAUGUGUUAUCGCCCAACAUUGUUACCAUUUCAACCUCUCGGCCUUUGUUUAU